AUUCCAUGAACAUGCCAAUUGUCAUUAGGAAGUUUCGCCAGCCGGGAUAAGCGAACAUCUGCCAUUGACAAAUGACACGAUUUACAUUAUAGUUGAUGCAAUUUUUCAACAUGCCAGACCACGCCAGGACGAACCAUCAUGUCAGCAGUGGACACAGCAGGAGGUCCUUCCAACAGGCAAACAAAUGACGCGCCUGCACGCCGACUCCGACUAUGAUGAUGAUGAUGAUGAUUGCGAGGAUGCGGAUAAAGAAAAGAUGUGAAGGAUAUUUGUCCUGUGGGACUAGCACGUGUGUGUUUGUGCAUCUUAAGCGGCAGCCUCGCCGGAAACGGAAGUCAUUUGGCUCUGUUCAUGUCGCUUCGUUUGCCGCUAGAUGGCGCCAAGUUUUAUAGCGAAUGCAAAUAGAAACGCAUACACACUUUAACACACACACACACACUGUGACUAUAUCGUAAUUCUUUAUUUACGGCAUCUUUUUUCUUAACGGAGAAUCCCUAGCCGGAGAAUCCCCUGGUUUCCGUGCUUUUUCUUGUUUUUAAUUUUCACUACGCCGGAAAACUGUUGCAGUUCCCAGCUGCAGCGGAAGUGUUGAAUUUCUUAUGCAACUUGCAAACGUCAAACGGAUGGAGAGAAAGCUUCGUCCUCGCUCCUUUGUCCUUGGUCCUUGGUCUCCAGCUCUUCCUCCUUCCUCCUGCCUCCUGUAUCCUGUACCCUGUGCAUCCUUCGUCCUUUUCACAACGCCAUUUGUUAUUCGAUAAUUUCGUUUUGUUAUGCUGCUGCAUUUUUCGCAUCAUUUUCGCGUCGCAUUUGCAGUAAACUUGCUGCAAAUGUUGAUCCUUUACCGUUGCUCUGGCUGCUCCAGCUCUCCCUCCAAACAGAAACGUAAUUGACAUAAUUUGCGAACUGUUCUCUCCCGAGCACGUCUCAUAAUAUAUUCAAACCAAUUUCAAACUAAGCCAACUUGCUCCGAAACUCAAUUUUUAAGGAGAAACUCAACUUUUUUUUCGAGUCUGCAUUCACAGACAUUUCCCAUUAGCCUUAUUCCACCCCAGACACGAUUUAUAUUUAUUCUAUGGGACUAUGGAAAUUCGGUGACAACGGGGCCUUUUCAACGUCCACUGUUUUCUCAUCUCAUUGCCACUCAACUUGGCACACACAAGUCGAUAAAGACGUCGGAAAUGUCAACAUGAUGACAACAAAUUUGUAAAAAAAAAAAACUUGAUUUAUUUGGCCCCAUCAACAAAAAACAACAACAUCCAAAUGAAAUGCUCCAAGAGGUCCACGAGGGGAGGUCAUGCUGAGCUAAUGGCAAGCUGGCUGAUGUCCUUACGCCCCCAUCUCCUGCCACGCCCCUUUGCCAUUCAAUGAUCUCUCGCACCGUCAGAAACACGAAAUGGGUUAGGUGACAAGUCGGUUGGCUGGGACGACGGACGAAGGACGAACAGCGAAGGAUGGGAGGAGCUUGCGGCUGCUGCCACACAAUCUGCCAUAUCACUGACAGUUUUAUCGACUUAACAAAACUAACUGCCAUUAGUUUCACUUUGGCUGGUAGUGCCGCUGAAAAGCAACGACAUUUACGCCCCCGCGUCCCAAGGAUGCAAAAGGGAAACUCCGUUCGGGUUACAGGACCAAGACAAAGGCAAAAUAAACACUGAAAAAACGAAAUGCCAAAACAGCAGAAGGAGGCAGUAGGAGCAGCCAUUACAAAAACAACAGUAACAACGUCAACAACAAUGGUCGACAAGGAAGAUAAGAAAAAUAAGGACAUGGGUCGAAGCCAGGGAUGGUGUAUGAUGGUGUGGAUAUAUCCAUGGGUGGUGAUUGCACACCGCCCCCCCUGUCUGCUCCUGGCAGACGUUGAAAAAUCACUUUAGCAUGACCCCAAAAUGUCUAUUUCAUUAAUACAAAUAAACCCGGAAAGGAGAGCAAAGAAACGGCAGAGCCAGUGGUAGUGGUAGUGGCAGGACCAAAAGCAAAACCAAACCGAACCAAAAACUGCCGCCCCAAUAGCGGAAAGGCCAAAACAAAUCGUUUCUGCCCGCUGCAAGGACAUUUCGACAAAUUAAAAUGAACAUGAAAAGCGGCAGCAGAUAAAAACCAAAUGGCCCGGGUCCUUCCAAAAAAAAAAAUCCUCCUGACCACCUCGUGUCCUGUUUCUUGCACGUCUUUGGCUAUUGGCAUUAAAAUUUGUCAUUCUCCAAGAGAGUCCUUUGGGAUUUUCUUGGAGUUUGGUGCUUAAAAAAGAGUAUAUUUAAAAGUUUACUACUCAAGUAAAAAAUAACCCUAACUUUCUGUUUAAUAGUCCUUAAAAUAAACCCAAUAAAGAGCA
RNAcentral lists this small RNA (2329 nucleotides) under Drosophila ananassae. RNAcentral describes it as "GF26514". Lineage: Eukaryota; Metazoa; Arthropoda; Insecta; Diptera; Drosophilidae. The record is from RNAcentral.